UAUGAGGAAAUUACUUCUACAGCCUCUUGU
Molecule: non-coding RNA, 30 nt
Filed under: Rattus norvegicus (Norway rat)
Lineage: Eukaryota; Metazoa; Chordata; Mammalia; Rodentia; Muridae
Source: RNAcentral